This 1194-nucleotide ribosomal RNA is filed under the name Lactiplantibacillus plantarum. Its description in RNAcentral is "bacterial SSU rRNA". It matches the Rfam family "Bacterial small subunit ribosomal RNA", at positions 30 to 1181 of the family's 1533-position model. The record is from RNAcentral. Lineage: Bacteria; Bacillati; Bacillota; Bacilli; Lactobacillales; Lactobacillaceae.
CGGGUGUGGCGGCGUGCUAAUAAUGCAAGUCGAACGAACUCUGGUAUUGAUUGGUGCUUGCAUCAUGAUUUACAUUUGAGUGAGUGGCGAACUGGUGAGUAACACGUGGGAAACCUGCCCAGAAGCGGGGGAUAACACCUGGAAACAGAUGCUAAUACCGCAUAACAACUUGGACCGCAUGGUCCGAGCUUGAAAGAUGGCUUCGGCUAUCACUUUUGGAUGGUCCCGCGGCGUAUUAGCUAGAUGGUGGAGGUUAAUCGGCUCAACCCAAUGGCAAUGAUAUCGUAGCCGACCUGAGAGGGUAAUCGGCCACAUUGGGACUGAGAACACGGCCCAAACUCCUACGGGAGGCAGCAGUAGGGAAUCUUCCACCAAUGGACGAAAGUCUGAUGGAGCAACGCCGCGUGAGUGAAGAAGGGGUUUCGGCUCGUAAAACUCUGUUGUUAAAGAAGAACAUAUCUGAGAGUAACUGUUCAGGUAUUGACGGUAUUUAACCAGAAAGCCACGGCUAACUACGUGCCAGCAGCCGCGGUAAUACGUAGGUGGCAAGCGUUGUCCGGAUUUAUUGGGCGUAAAGCGAGCGCAGGCGGUUUUUUAAGUCUGAUGUGAAAGCCUUCGGCUCAACCGAAGAAGUGCAUCGGAAACUGGGAAACUUGAGUGCAGAAGAGGACAGUGGAACUCCAUGUGUAGCGGUGAAAUGCGUAGAUAUAUGGAAGAACACCAGUGGCGAAGGCGGCUGUCUGGUCUGUAACUGACGCUGAGGCUCGAAAGUAUGGGUAGCAAACAGGAUUAGAUACCCUGGUAGUCCAUACCGUAAACGAUGAAUGCUAAGUGUUGGAGGGUUUCCGCCCUUCAGUGCUGCAGCUAACGCAUUAAGCAUUCCGCCUGGGGAGUACGGCCGCAAGGCUGAAACUCAAAGGAAUUGACGGGGGCCCGCACAAGCGGUGGAGCAUGUGGUUUAAUUCGAAGCUACGCGAAGAACCCUUACCAGGUCUUGACAUACUAUGCAAAUCUAAGAGAUUAGACGUUCCCUUCGGGGACAUGGAUACAGGUGGUGCAUGGUUGUCGUCAGCUCGUGUCGUGAGAUGUGGGGUUAAGUCCCGCAACGAGCGCAACCCUUAUUAUCAGUUGCCAGCAUUAAGUUGGGCACUCUGGUGAGACUGCCGGUGACAAACCGGAGGAGGGUGGGGGAUG